AGGCCAUAUAAACCCAAGCACAGAGCUAAGAGGCUAGUUUACCCCAGAUUUCUACAACUACAGGAGCUAUUCCAUAGCCUCUCAUGAACUCCUGGAAACUGCAAACAGUUUUGGCAUCUGCAGAUAUGAGCAGAUCUAGGAUUUUGAAAAGCUCUGAAGGAGCAUAUUCUCCGUUCAGUCUGAUACCCCCUGGCUGUUGGGGCUGAGCGGCGCCAAACACGCUCCCUCGACACCCCUGCCUGAUGCUCCCUGGGCGGCCCUGCGGGCGAGGAGCCGGCCCAGCCUCUUCCUUCUCCUGCCACAGCAAGAUGCUGCCUGCCUCGAAGAAACUUGUCAGGCCGGUGCGGGGCAGGCUGGGGCGCUGGAGAGGUUGAGAAGAGUCCGGGACGAGCGGCCGCGGAGUUUCCUGUGUCCUUUACCGGUUUCCCUCCCGCAGACAGGACAGACGGGUCCCGCUGCCCUCGCGCCCCUUGUACCCACAGGGCAGCAGCCCGCUGGGGGAGCC
Molecule: long non-coding RNA, 505 nt
Organism: Alligator sinensis (Chinese alligator)
Lineage: Eukaryota; Metazoa; Chordata; Crocodylia; Alligatoridae
Exons: 3
Source: RefSeq, a predicted model, not a curated record